RNAcentral lists this ribosomal RNA (253 nucleotides) under uncultured bacterium. RNAcentral describes it as "partial 16S ribosomal RNA". It matches the Rfam family "Bacterial small subunit ribosomal RNA", at positions 524 to 776 of the family's 1533-position model. The record is from RNAcentral.
UACAGAGGUGGCAAGCGUUGUUCGGAAUUACUGGGCGUAAAGGGCGCGUAGGCGGCCAUCUAAGUCAGACGUGAAAUCCCCCGGCUCAACCUGGGAACUGCGUCUGAUACUGGACGGCUUGAGUUUGGGAGAGGGAUGUAGAAUUCCAGGUGUAGCGGUGAAAUGCGUAGAUAUCGGGAGGAACACCGGUGGCGAAGGCGGCGACCUGGGUGGAUACUGACGCUGAGGCGCGAAAGCGUGGGGAGCAAACAGG